AGAAUUUUCAUUUCCGUGUGACUGUUUUGUUUUCAUUCAGCGAGUUGAGUGCUGAUUCGGUCGAGCCAGACAGCUUUUAUUUUUACGUUUUACGAAGUUUUUGAACAUUAUGUGAGAAAUAAAACAUGUUACCGUGGAAAUGGAUUUCUGCAGAACAACGUUCCGAGAUGAUAAUGAUUUCCAGAAUUUUUAUGUUUGUUAAAAAUUCUCUUCACGAAUGCGGCUUUCUGGAUGCUUCACACCUCGGUCUCUACAUAAAUAAUCUAGAGGAAUUAUUUUUCAAUA
Armigeres subalbatus is the source of this 285-nucleotide long non-coding RNA. RefSeq lists it as uncharacterized. The transcript is spliced from 3 exons. NCBI's taxonomy places the organism in Eukaryota, Metazoa, Arthropoda, Insecta, Diptera, Culicidae. The record is from RefSeq and is a predicted model, not a curated record.